GGCAAAGCCAUUACUGCUUAAAGUGGUAUGAUGCUGCCUCAAAAGUACAGUGCAAAGGUGACCUGAGAUAUUCUCUCAGAUUUUUUUUUUCAGGUUCUGUCUGUACAGUGGUUCCUCGGGUUAAGAACUUAAUUCGUUCCGGAGGUCGGUUCUUAACCUGAAACUGUUCUUAAGCUGAGGUACCACUUUAGCUAAUGGGGCCUCCCGCUGGCACCAUGCCGCCAGAGCACAAUUUCUGUUCUCAUCCUGAAGCAAAGUUCUUAACCCAAGGAACUAUUUCUGGGUUAGCGGAGUCUGUAACCUGAAGUAUCUGUAACCUGAGGUACCACUGUAAAUGGUUGGAAAUGUUCCCUCACACUUGGAGAAUAUUUGGCAAAAUGCCCCUCAGCUUCUCCACCCAUUAGUAGGAUGGGGAAGUUUUGAGCACAACUGUGCAUCUAGCCCAAUAUAUUUUAAAACGAUGGAAGGAAGCAAUGGACUUUCCCUCCUCCUCCUCCUCCUCUUCUUCUUCUUCUUCUUCUUCUUGUCCCCCUUUCUUUGCCUAUGAGUUCAUACUGGUGAAUGAAGGAAGUAACUAUAUACUAUAGUCCCAUUCAGUCAAGAUGCCUUUAAAAAAGUAUAUUAAAUUUUCUGAUAAUUUUCUUUUUCAACACCCUUCUCUACACAGCUGAAGAAUUCUGCUCCUACCCCAAGAACAUUUGCUAAAAUGGCUACCUCUAUUUUGCCUCCUGCAAACAAGGAGAAUAAUUUUAGGAGGCCAUCAUGUCUGCAUAAUGCACUUUUACAGCUAUGCAGCAACACAGCAGGGCCCCUAAGGUGCGGGGGGGGGAGAGAACCACACAGAAUAAAUAUACUCUGGGCACUAAAUACACUCUGAAUUUGUGACACUUGUCCAGCCAUGAUUGCUAUUUUACAUGCUUACAAAAGCAAUAGACACACACUUGUUUAAACAGAAAAUCUGUAUAAAUAAACUACCAGCAACAACAAUAUCUUUUUACAUUUCCUUAGACGAUUUGAAAGCGGGCACUUUGCAGCCAGCUGCUCAAGCAAUUUCAUUAGUCCAAUGUAUCAUGCCAAAGCUUCUGAAAGGGCACAUCUUGGAAAGAGGCAGAUCCUUCCCACUGGUGCAAGCCUGAGAGCACAUUAAUGCAUUAUGUCAUUUGCAAUUGGAUUUUGCACUUAAGGCUGAUGAAGAAAGCUCCUCCAGACCUAUAGGACUUAAGUCAUUAAGUAGAACUUCUAGGUGUGCGAAUGAAAUAAAAGAAACCCUGAUGCAUUUUGGCAUGGAAUAUUAAAGCCUAUCAGAGCGGUUUCUUUGAGGGCUGUGCAACUGGAACAUUACCUGAUUAAAAGCAGGUUGAACCACCUGCCGCCAUUUCCUUUCCUUUUUUUUUUUUAAAGCAAUUUAUUGGAUUUUACAAUAGGAAUAAAUGUAAUAAACAAUAUAACAUUCGUCUUAACAUAAUUUCACAUUUUCUUUGGACUUCCUCACAUCUCCCGCUCCCACCUUCAUCAUUAUAACAUUUUGUCAGCAAUUUAUCAUCUUAUUUAAGUUCUUAUAUCUCUUCGAUAUUUCAUAAUCUUAAAGUUCUCAUAAAGAGUUAAACUUUCACAGUUUUUCUUAUUUUCUUAAAAACUUCUAAGUUAAGUGGUGCUCAGUUAUUUAGUCUAGCAUCUUAUUCAGCAUUCAGUCAAAUCACAAUGCUUUUGUAGAUAGUUCUUAAAUUUCUUCCAAUCCUCCUCGAUUCUCUCUUCUCCCAGGUCACGGAUUCUGCCAGUCAUUUCAGCCAGUUGCAUAUAGUCUAUCAGUUGCAUCUGCCAUUCUUCCAGUGUGGGUAGAUCUUGAGUUUUCCAAUGUUUUGCUAGUAGUAUCCUUGCUGCUGUUGUUGCAUACAUAAAAAAUGUCUGGUCCUUCUUUGCCACCCCUUGGCUGACAAUACCCAAAAGGAAAGCCUCUGGUUUCUUAGUGAAAGUAUAUUUAAAUACCUUUUUCAAUUCAUUAUAAAUCAUUUCCCAGAACGCCUUCACUUUAGGGCAGGUCCACCAGAGGUGAAAGAACGUUCCUUCACACUCUUUACAUUUCCAGCACUUGUUAUCAGACAGGUGGUAAAUUUUUGCGAGUUUGACUGGGGUCAUAUACCAUCUAUAAAUCAUUUUCAUUACAUUUUCUUUCAAAGCAUUACAUGCAGUAAAUUUCAAUCCAUUACUCCACAGCCUUUCCCAGUCCUCAAACAUAAUAUUAUGCCCAAUAUCCUGUGCCCACCUUAUCAUAGCCGAUUUAACCAUUUCAUCUUGUGUAUUCCAUUCCAACAGCAAGUUAUACAUCCUUGAAAGUAUCUUAGUCUUUGGUUCUAACAAUUCUGUUUCUAAUUUCGAUUUCUCCACCUGGAACCCUAGUUUCUUAUCAUUUUUAAAAACUUCUUUAAUCUGAGCAUAAUGUAACCAAUCUCGCACUUUGUCUUUCAUUUUCUCCAAACUCUGCAAUUUCCAAUUGUCUCCAUCUUUUUCUAGUAUUUCCCAAUAUUUUGGCCAUUUGGCCUCCAUAUUGGGUCUUUUUCGGGCCUUAGCUUCCAAAGGUGAAAGCCACCUUGGUGUUUUAUUUUCCAGCAAGUCUUUAUAUUUUGUCCAGACAUUAAACAGUGAUUUUCUAACAAUAUGGUUCUUAAAGGCCUUAUUUGCUUUAACUUUGUCAUACCAUAAAUAUGCAUGCCAUCCAAAAACAUUGUUAAACCCUUCCAAAUCUAACACAUCAGUGUCUUCAAGAAGUAGCCAAUCUUUUAGCCAGCAGAACGCUGCGGCUUCGUAAUACAACUUUAAGUCCGGCAGGGCAAAGCCCCUCUUUGUUUUGCAUCAGUUAGUAUCUUAAACUUAAUUCUGGGCUUUUUGCCCUGCCAGACAAACUUCGAAAUGUCUCUCUGCCACUUCUGAAAGCACUCCAUUUUGUCCAAAACCUGAAGUGUUUGAAAUAAAAACAACAUUCUUGGCAAUACAUUCAUCUUAAUCGCAGCAAUUCGGCCUAACAAAGAAAGUUUCAAUUUUGACCAACUGUCUAAGUCUCUCUUAAUUUCUGUCCAACAUUUUUCAUAGUUAUCCUUAAAUAGACUUAGAUUUUUUGCUGUUAUGUUUACCCCUAGGUAUUUUACUUUUCUAACCACAUUAAGUUCCGUCUCAUUCUGAAACCGUUCUGACUCUGUCUCAGUCAAAUUUUUUCCCAAAACCUUGGUUUUCUGUUUAUUUAAUUUAAAUCCCGCCACCCGACCAAAGUCAUUAAUCAAUUGUAAUACUCUUUUCGUACUAGGCUCUGGCUUCUGCAAGGUCAAAACCAGGUCAUCUGCAAAAGCUUUUAGUUUAUAUUGUUUCUGACCAACCUGAAUUCCUUCCACCAACUGGUCCCCUCUAAUCAUGUUCAAUAGCACUUCCAGAACCGAAAUAAAUAACAAAGGGGAGAUAGGGCAACCUUGUCGUGUCCCUUUUUCAAUUUUGAACUCUUCUGUAACCACAUUAUUAACUAUCAGUUUAGCUUUCUGUUCUGAAUAUAUCGCCUCAAUCCCAUUCUCAAAACCCCGUCCCACUCCCAUCUCUUUUAAGUUUCCCAUCAUAAAUUUCCAAGAAAUAUUAUCAAAGGCCUUCUCCGCAUCUAUAAAAAUUAAAACUGCUUUUGUAUUUAUGUCAGUUUGGAGAAGUUCCAAGAUAUCAAUAAUGUUCCUUGUGUUAGCAAACAGAUGUCUACCUGGGAGAAAACCGGCCUGGUCCUUAUGAAUUACUUCAUUUAAAACUUUUUAAAUCUACUUGCCAAAAUAUCUGCAAAUAUUUUGUAAUCCACAUUUAAAAGGGAGAUGGGACGGUAGUUCUUCAGUUGUGUCUUUUCAGCUUCUGACUUUGGUAUCAAUGUGAUAAACGCUUCCUUCCACGAAUCCGGUGCCCUCUUCCCCUCCAUAAUUUCAUUGCUAACCUCCAUCAAGGGUUGUAUCAAAUAGUCUUUUAGUGUCUUAUAAUACUUGGAGGUCAGCCCGUCUGGCCCUGGAGAUUUGCCAAGUUGCAUGUUCUGAAUAGCUUGUUCAAUCUCCUGUCGUGUUAUUUUAGAGUUCAGGGUUGUCCUAUUUUCUUGUGACAGUUUAGAUAAUCCAUUUUUGGCAAAAAUUGUUUAAUCUCGACUUCGUCUUGCGGCCCUUGGGUAUAUAGUUUUUAAAAUAUCUCUGGAAACACUUUCUAAUGUCCACUGGAUUCUGAAUGUUUCUUCCAUCGACCUCUAAAUUUGUAACCGUAUUUAAUCUUUGUCUUCUCUUCAACUGCCAAGAUAGCAGUUUUCCACAUUUAUUCGCCGACUCAAACGUUUUUGUUUCAUUAAUUUAAUCUUCCAUUCAAUUUCCUGAUUUAUCAAUUUAGAAUAUUGUGUUUGAUACAGUUUAAUUUCUCUCAGAGUUGGCUGUGACUUUGGAUUCACUCUUAAUUUCUUCUCUAAUUCUUUUAUUUUAUCCAAAAUCUUGUCUUUUUUCUCAUUUUGUGUUUUUUUCUUUACUACAUUCUGUUGUAUCAGGAAUCCCCUCAUGACAGCUUUGCUUGCGUCCCAGACGAUUCUUUUUCCACCGAAUUGUUCAUGUUUAUCUCGAAAUAGUCUUUCAAAACUUUUUGGGCCUUCUUGGUAAUUUCCUGAUCUCUAAACAAAUUGUCAUUCAUCUUCCAUCUAAAGGAUCCAGUUGGUAGUAGUGUCAUAUCCAUCUUUACUGCGUUGUGGUCAGAGCAGGUCUUUGGGCAGAUUUCCACUUUUCUAACCCUAGGUGCCAGGCCUCUAGAGAUCCAUAUUUGGUCGAUUCUUGUCCAGGUCAGUUGGGCUUCAGAAAAGAAUGUUCCUUCUCUACCUAGUGGGUUCUUUGUUCUCCAAAUGUCAAUCAAGUCCAUAUUGUCAGUCAUUUCAAAAAGGUUUUAGGUAGUCUGCCAUCUUUUGUGACAUUUUGACUUUGCGACUUGUCCAUGUUAGUUGACACGACCCCGUUCAUGUCUCCCAUCAUUAUGAUGUUGUUGUAAUCCAGAUGAUCCAGCAUUGUCCCCUGCAACUUCUUGUAAAAUUCCGAUUUCCCUUCAUUGGGCGCAUAGAUUCCUAAUAUCAGCAGUUUCUCUCCUUGAUAUUGUAUCUCAAUAGCCAAAAUCCUUCCAUGUUCAUCUUUAAAUAGAAAUUUAGGUGACAGGCUCUCUUUUGCAUAUAUCACCACUCCUCUCUUCUUCACUUUGUCCGACGAAAUAAAUUCCUGGCCCAAUCUUUUAUUUAUUAACACUUUUCUGUGGAGCCUCGUCACAUGUGUUUCUUGUAAACAAAUAAUGUCCAAUUGUUCUUUUUUAAUAUAUGAAAUAUUUUCUUCCUUUUCUCCGGAAUAUUGCAACCAUUAAUGUUCCAGCUCAACAGUUGCAGAGACAUCCUGGAUCUGUCUGGUUAUUUCUCCCGGGGUGGUGUCUUCUCUGGGUCUUCAAGCUCCCCAGGUGGAGGUAUUGACGCUGGCUUUGCCCCAGGCCCGGAAGGUAGUUCAAUUCCUUUAUGUAGGUCCUCUCCGUAUGUAGCCAGAAAUUUAUCUCUCUCUUCCAAUGUUCUAAUUUUGACCUUUCUCGCUCUAAAGGUAAAAGAUAAUCCUUGGGGAAAUUCCCACCUGAAUGGAAUUGCGUUGCUCCUUAGUAGUUUAGCAAGUUCAGAGUAGGCGGCUCUAAGGUCCAACAGUUGUCUUGGGAUAUCUUUAUAUAUCUCAAUUCUUCUAUCCAAAACCUCCAGUGACUUUUCGUAAUGUAGACCCAAAAUCUUAUCCCUUUCCUCCUUCGAUCUCAAUGUAAUCAAACAAUCCCUGGGCCUCUCCUUCUUUAUAAAUCUUCCAAGUCUGAAAGCUGACACAAUUUUAAAGUCCUUUUCUUCCAAAUUCCAGAACUUGGAAAGUUCUUUGGUCAAAAACUCAGUUAGAUUUCCUUCUUCUGCCUCUUGUAAUGAUCUAAUCCUCAAAUUAUUCUCACGAUUUCGCAGUUCUAUCAUAGAAAGAUAAGUCUGAUGUUCCCCAACUUGUUUAGUGAGUGGUCUUACCUCUUGCUCUAAAUUUUCCAAUUUUUGUCUGGUAUCCUCAGCCAAUUUUCGGUUUUCUACUGAGGCCUCCGUCAACUGUCCAAUUGCUUGUGUAUUCUGUCCCACCUGUGUAGUUAAUUUGUUUAGACAGUCUGUAUUUUUAUCAAUCUUUGCUGAUUGCGCAUCUACUUUCUUGUCCAAAGCUUCCAAUUUUUCAAAGAUUUUUCUAGCACAGAAACAGAUGAUCCUGAGGCCAUAUCUUCCAAUUGUAACUGCUCUGCUUCACCCUCUCCCUCUUUUGCCUGUGGCAAGUCAGCUUCUUCAAGUUGUACUUCUGAGGGCAAAGUAGGCACAGAUGAUCUACGUGUCUGCGAGGCUGAGGUUAGAGUUGUUAGAGUUGUUUGUCUAACUCUUCCUCUUCUUCUUGUACCACUCAUUCCAAUGUUAUCUAUCAGUCAAGGUCACACUGAGUUUUUCCCACAGGAAUAGAAAGGCCCAGAGCAAGCAAACAACAAGGGAAUCGAAAGUAAAUGUAUUUGUAAAGUCACUGUUUUAAUCCAAUCCUCUAGAGGGAGCUUAAGAUGUCUUUCAGAGUCUGAUUUAAUGUCCCAGAACCUUCCAAUAUAAGUAUUAAGCAGAGUUUAAAAGUAAUCACUUUGUUGCAGACAGUGCUUAUUUGUCUCCAAAAGAAUGUUUCAAAUUUAAAAGGUCUCAAUACCCUCAGAUUGUUGCAACUUCUAAUAUACAGUAUCCAAAUCAACACUGACAGCUCGCUCUUACAGUGCUCAAACAAUCCUGACUCUGGGUUUCACCUUCCAAUUUGUAAUCCAAUAAAAGGGGAAAGUCAAGUACAAAUAAAAGAUCCAAAUCUUUAACUUACUAGUUUUACUUUAAAUUGUAAGUUCCAUAGAUGCUUGGCUGUGUAGAGUUUAAAGUCUCUUUCUUUCAGCCUCCACUCCUCCGCCUUAGUUGCUUUUUUUCCAAGUUCAAUGGCAGCGGAAGACGGACUUCCUGUUUCCACGUCUCUCCGCUUUCAGCCAAAUUCAAGCCAAAUUAAACCUUCUCAUUUAAAAUUUGUAAUUCCAAGUGAUUCAGUCUUUACUCACGAGUAAGUUGUUUUCUUCCAGGUCCGAAUUUUAACAGGAAAAGGGAUCAGCGCUCACCGGCAGCAGCAGCGCGGCUUCACUCCGCUGACUGUGAAACGGCUCACAGCGCCGCAACCCCCCUCCACGCUCCGGAGCCCCUUACGAGGCUCCUUCUGCAGUUGGAGGGCUGCUCUUGGCGCCCGCCGAGCCUCAGGACCCCAGGCUCUUGCUGCCUGGGGUUUUUCUCGUUGGGUCUCCGCUUCGCCGUAGCGGACGACCCGAUUUCAGCGGAGCUUCCUCUCCCGUCGGGAGAAGACCGCCAUUGCCGUUCGCGCCGCCCCCCGGAAGCCCCUGCCGCCAUUUCCUUUCCUUUCCUUGUUUAAGGUUUUUUCUUCCUCUUUGUCCAUCAGGAAAAUCAAAGACACAAAGCAAAGGGGGGAGGAUAGGAGGAGGAUGACUACAGCAUGAAAUAGCUAGUGCUCAGCACUUGUGUUAUCAACAGCCAGUGCAGAAUCCCUGGCGUGGUCUGAAAGCGCAUGAUGCACCAAUAUUGUGGAAGCCGGACUGGAUCAGCUCUGUGUCCAGAUGGGAGGCUGUACCAUGUGAAAACCUGUCCUCCAGUUUCUCAAACAUUUUGCUCACCUAUGAAGAAGGCUUCCACUUUUCCGACAACUUCUCAAGGUGCUUCAGGAUUGCUUCCAGUGGAUGCAGGACUGAGCUUAAUUGCAACAUAUCCAUGGAUAGUUUCUUCCCAAUAAAUAUUCCUUCAGGACUCUGCA
Molecule: long non-coding RNA, 7901 nt
Filed under: Podarcis lilfordi (Lilford's wall lizard)
Lineage: Eukaryota; Metazoa; Chordata; Lepidosauria; Squamata; Lacertidae
Source: RNAcentral